This 724-nucleotide ribosomal RNA is filed under the name Bacillus sp. MJN3. RNAcentral's name for it is "bacterial SSU rRNA". It matches the Rfam family "Bacterial small subunit ribosomal RNA", at positions 56 to 762 of the family's 1533-position model. The record is from RNAcentral. Lineage: Bacteria; Bacillati; Bacillota; Bacilli; Caryophanales; Bacillaceae.
UGCAAGUCGAGCGGACAGAUGGGAGCUUGCUCCCUGAUGUUAGCGGCGGACGGGUGAGUAACACGUGGGUAACCUGCCUGUAAGACUGGGAUAACUCCGGGAAACCGGGGCUAAUACCGGAUGCUUGUUUGAACCGCAUGGUUCAAACAUAAAAGGUGGCUUCGGCUACCACUUACAGAUGGACCCGCGGCGCAUUAGCUAGUUGGUGAGGUAAUGGCUCACCAAGGCAACGAUGCGUAGCCGACCUGAGAGGGUGAUCGGCCACACUGGGACUGAGACACGGCCCAGACUCCUACGGGAGGCAGCAGUAGGGAAUCUUCCGCAAUGGACGAAAGUCUGACGGAGCAACGCCGCGUGAGUGAUGAAGGUUUUCGGAUCGUAAAGCUCUGUUGUUAGGGAAGAACAAGUGCCGUUCAAAUAGGGCGGCACCUUGACGGUACCUAACCAGAAAGCCACGGCUAACUACGUGCCAGCAGCCGCGGUAAUACGUAGGUGGCAAGCGUUGUCCGGAAUUAUUGGGCGUAAAGGGCUCGCAGGCGGUUUCUUAAGUCUGAUGUGAAAGCCCCCGGCUCAACCGGGGAGGGUCAUUGGAAACUGGGGAACUUGAGUGCAGAAGAGGAGAGUGGAAUUCCACGUGUAGCGGUGAAAUGCGUAGAGAUGUGGAGGAACACCAGUGGCGAAGGCGACUCUCUGGUCUGUAACUGACGCUGAGGAGCGAAAGCGU